RNAcentral lists this transfer RNA (72 nucleotides) under Ornithorhynchus anatinus (platypus). It matches the Rfam family "tRNA". Rfam says of the family: Transfer RNA (tRNA) molecules are approximately 80 nucleotides in length. Their secondary structure includes four short double-helical elements and three loops (D, anti-codon, and T loops). Further hydrogen bonds mediate the characteristic L-shaped molecular structure. tRNAs have two regions of fundamental functional importance: the anti-codon, which is responsible for specific mRNA codon recognition, and the 3' end, to which the tRNAs corresponding amino acid is attached (by aminoacyl-tRNA synthetases). tRNAs cope with the degeneracy of the genetic code in two manners: having more than one tRNA (with a specific anti-codon) for a particular amino acid; and 'wobble' base-pairing, i.e. permitting non-standard base-pairing at the 3rd anti-codon position. The record is from Rfam by way of RNAcentral. Lineage: Eukaryota; Metazoa; Chordata; Mammalia; Monotremata; Ornithorhynchidae.
AGCAGUGUGGCUCAGUGGAAAGAGCGUGGUCUUGGGAGUCAGAGGUCAUGGGUUCUAAUCCCAGCUCUGCCG